This 73-nucleotide transfer RNA is filed under the name Cricetulus griseus (Chinese hamster). It matches the Rfam family "tRNA". Rfam says of the family: Transfer RNA (tRNA) molecules are approximately 80 nucleotides in length. Their secondary structure includes four short double-helical elements and three loops (D, anti-codon, and T loops). The record is from Rfam by way of RNAcentral. Lineage: Eukaryota; Metazoa; Chordata; Mammalia; Rodentia; Cricetidae.
GUAGAAAUAGCUCAGGGGUAAAGAGCACUGGCUGCUCUGCCAAAGGACCCAGGUUCAAUUCCUAGUACCUACA